RNAcentral lists this transfer RNA (76 nucleotides) under Pseudomonadales bacterium. RNAcentral describes it as "tRNA-His". It matches the Rfam family "tRNA". From Rfam's summary of the family: Transfer RNA (tRNA) molecules are approximately 80 nucleotides in length. Their secondary structure includes four short double-helical elements and three loops (D, anti-codon, and T loops). RNAcentral also lists the same sequence under 4 other names. The record is from RNAcentral. Lineage: Bacteria; Pseudomonadati; Pseudomonadota; Gammaproteobacteria; Pseudomonadales.
GUGGGCGUAGCUCAGUUGGUAGAGCGCCGGAUUGUGAUUCCGGUGGUCGUGGGUUCAAUCCCCAUCGUCCACCCCA